Molecule: microRNA precursor, 139 nt
Filed under: Oryza brachyantha (malo sina)
Lineage: Eukaryota; Viridiplantae; Streptophyta; Magnoliopsida; Poales; Poaceae
Description: MIR812 microRNA precursor family
Rfam family: MIR812 microRNA precursor family
Source: Rfam by way of RNAcentral
UUUGACUCUUUGUCUUAUUUGAAUUUUUUAAAGAUUAAUAUUUUUAUUGUUAUCACAUGAUAAAACAUAACUAGUACUUUACAUGUGACUAUUUUUUUUAACUUUUUCAUAAAUUUUUCAAAUAAAACGGAUGGUCAAA